UUGCGGCAAUAUCACAUUGAAACACUUGUUCUCAUAUAAUCCAACAUGGUGAAGCAACGUCGAGCCUAGUCAGUACCUAGAUGGGUGACCACUUGGGAAUACAAGGUGCUGUAAG
This is a non-coding RNA of Acanthosepion pharaonis, 115 nucleotides long. The record is from the annotation of a GenBank genome assembly. NCBI's taxonomy places the organism in Eukaryota, Metazoa, Mollusca, Cephalopoda, Sepiida, Sepiidae.